RNAcentral lists this ribosomal RNA (253 nucleotides) under uncultured bacterium. RNAcentral describes it as "partial 16S ribosomal RNA". It matches the Rfam family "Bacterial small subunit ribosomal RNA", at positions 524 to 776 of the family's 1533-position model. The record is from RNAcentral.
UACGAAGGACCCAAGCGUUAUCCGGAUUUAUUGGGUUUAAAGGGUGCGUAGGCGGGUUAUUAAGUCAGUGGUGAAAGCCUUCAGCUUAACUGAAGAAUUGCCAUUGAUACUGAUGAUCUUGAGUAUGAUUGAGGUGGGCGGAAUGUGUCAUGUAGCGGUGAAAUGCUUAGAUAUGACACAGAACACCGAUUGCGAAGGCAGCUCACUAAGUCAUAACUGACGCUGAUGCACGAAAGCGUGGGGAGCAAACAGG